CCUCACUGCCUUUCUGGCCACAAGCAGCCCAGAGGCACCUUCGGAUGCACUAGCCAUGGUCUCCUCCAGGUAGCUGGGCUCUCGUCCCUUCCACCUCCCACGGGCCUCCUGCCCUCCGGCAGCCUGCCUUCCCCUCUGGGAUUCAGCCUCCUCUUCUUGGGGGAAGGAAGAUGUGCCCUUGACCCCACGUGAACCUCUCCUGGAGCCUCAGGAAGGAGCUGUCACCCUACUCAUCUCUUACCCCCUUGGAGAGAGCGUGGGGCAGCCCGUGGCUUCAGAGUCAGAUAUUCUUGCUUGACCCACAAUUCUGG
Molecule: long non-coding RNA, 311 nt
Organism: Hyaena hyaena (striped hyena)
Lineage: Eukaryota; Metazoa; Chordata; Mammalia; Carnivora; Hyaenidae
Exons: 3
Source: RefSeq, a predicted model, not a curated record